AGCAGCCGCGGUAAUUCCAGCUCCAAUAGCGUAUAUUAAAGUUGUUGCAGUUAAAAAGCUCGUAGUUGAAUUUCGGGAUCAAUAUGUCGGUCGUGCCUUCGGUACGUACUGGUAUCAUUGGUCUCUCCUUUCUGACGAACCAUGAUGUCAUUAAUUUGGUGUUAUGGGGAGUUAGGACUGUUACUUUGAAAAAAUUAGAGUGUUUAAAGCAGGCUUUAGCUUGAAUACAUUAGCAUGGAAUAAUGAAAUAGGACGUUCGAACCUAUUUUGUUGGUUUCUAGGAUCAACGUAAUGAUUAAUAGGGAUAGUUGGGGGCAUUAGUAUUCAAUUGUCAGAGGUGAAAUUCUUGGAUUUAUUGAAGACUAACUACUGCGAAAGCAUUUGCCAAGGAUGUUUUCAUUAAUCAAGAACGAAAGUUAGGGGAUCGAAGACGAUCAGAUACCGUCGUAGUCUUAACCAUAAACUAUGCCGACUAGGGAUCGGAUGAUGUUAAUUUUUAAUGACUCAUUCGGCGCCUUAC
This 520-nucleotide non-coding RNA is filed under the name uncultured Glomus. RNAcentral describes it as "SSU rRNA". It matches the Rfam family "Eukaryotic small subunit ribosomal RNA", at positions 569 to 1091 of the family's 1831-position model. The record is from RNAcentral. RNAcentral also lists the same sequence under 1 other name. Lineage: Eukaryota; Fungi; Glomeromycota; Glomeromycetes; Glomerales; Glomeraceae.